GGCGGCAUGCCUUACACAUGCAAGUCGAACGCGAAAGUGGGGGCAACCCUGCGAGUAGAGUGGCGAACGGGUGAGUAACACAUCGGAACGUACCCAGGAGUGGGGGACAACCUCGAGAAAUCGAGGCUAAUACCGCAUACGUCCUGAGGGAGAAAGCGGGGGAUUCGCAAGGACCUCGCGCUCAUGGAGCGGCCGAUGUCGGAUUAGCUAGUUGGCGGGGUAAGAGCCCACCAAGGCUACGAUCCGUAGCUGGUUUGAGAGAACGACCAGCCACACUGGGACUGAGACACGGCCCAGACUCCUACGGGAGGCAGCAGUGGGGAAUUUUGGACAAUGGGCGCAAGCCUGAUCCAGCCAUGCCGCGUGAGUGAAGAAGGCCUUCGGGUUGUAAAGCUCUUUCGGCCGGAACGAAAUCGGGUGCGUGAAUAACGCAUCUGGAUGACGGUACUGGAAGAAGAAGCACCGGCUAACUACGUGCCAGCAGCCGCGGUAAUACGUAGGGUGCGAGCGUUAAUCGGAAUUACUGGGCGUAAAGCGUGCGCAGGCGGUUCUGCAAGUCAGAUGUGAAAUCCCCGGGCUUAACCUGGGAACUGCGUUUGAAACUAC
Molecule: ribosomal RNA, 606 nt
Filed under: uncultured beta proteobacterium
Lineage: Bacteria; Pseudomonadati; Pseudomonadota; Betaproteobacteria
Description: bacterial SSU rRNA
Rfam family: Bacterial small subunit ribosomal RNA
Source: RNAcentral